This 1351-nucleotide ribosomal RNA is filed under the name human oral metagenome. RNAcentral's name for it is "bacterial LSU rRNA". It matches the Rfam family "Bacterial large subunit ribosomal RNA", at positions 1480 to 2798 of the family's 2925-position model. The record is from RNAcentral.
AGGUAGCUGCAGUGCGCCGAUGGUUGUGCGUAUUUAAGGUUGUGGCCCGUCUCCUAGGUAAAUCCGGGGGGCAUGAUGGGUGAGAACUGAUGAGGGUGACACGAUAGUGCCAUCUUGUGGUGAUCCUAUGCUGCCGAGAAAAGCCUCGACGUGAGGGCAUGACGCGCCCGUACCCUAAACCGACUCAGGUGGUCAGGUAGAGUAUACCGAGGCGUUCGAGUGAAUCAUGGUUAAGGAACUCGGCAAAAUUCCUCCGUAACUUCGGGAUAAGGAGGACCCCGUGACUUGCUCCCACCGUGCGUGGGUGUUGGGUUGUGGGGUCGCAGAGAAUAGGGAGAAGCGACUGUUUAUCAAAAACACAGGUGCGUGCGAAGCCGUAAGGCGAUGUAUACGCACUGACGCCUGCCCGGUGCUGGAAGGUUAAGAGGAACCGUUAACAUUCUUUGUGGGUGUGAAGCGGUGAAUUUAAGCCCCAGUAAACGGCGGUGGUAACUAUAACCAUCCUAAGGUAGCGAAAUUCCUUGUCGGGUAAGUUCCGACCUGCACGAAUGGCGUAACGACUUCUCCGCUGUCUCAACCGCGAACUCGGUGAAAUUGCAGUACGAGUAAAGAUGCUCGUUUCGCGCAGAAGGACGGAAAGACCCCGGGACCUUUACUAUAGCUUGGUAUUGGUGUUCGCUUGGACUUGUGUAGGAUAGGUGGGAGACUGUGAAGCUGCCGCGCCAGCGGUGGUGGAGUCGUCGUUGAAAUACCAUUCUGGUUUAAGCGGUCACCUUAACCUUGGCCCGUGAUCCGGGUUGGGGACAGUGCCUGGUGGGUAGUUUAACUGGGGCGGUUGCCUCCUAAAAUGUAACGGAGGCGCUCAAAGGUUCCCUCAGCCUGGUUGGUAAUCAGGUGGCGAGUGCAAGUGUACAAGGGAGCUUGACUGUGAGACCGACGGGUCGAGCAGGUGCGAAAGCAGGAACUAGUGAUCCGGCCAUGGCACGUGGGUGCGUGGUCGCUCAACGGAUAAAAGGUACCCCGGGGAUAACAGGCUGAUCUUGCCCAAGAGUCCAUAUCGACGGCAUGGUUUGGCACCUCGAUGUCGGCUCGUCGCAUCCUGGGGCUGGAGUCGGUCCCAAGGGUUGGGCUGUUCGCCCAUUAAAGCGGUACGCGAGCUGGGUUCAGAACGUCGUGAGACAGUUCGGUCCCUAUCCUCUGUGCGCGCAGGAAAUUUGAGAAGGGCCGUCCCCAGUACGAGAGGACCGGGAUGGACGAACCUCUGGUGUGCCAGUUGUACCGCCAGGUGCAUGGCUGGUUAGCUACGUUCGGAAGGGAUAACCGCUGAAAGCAUCUAAGCGGGAAGCCUGCU